This 35955-nucleotide long non-coding RNA is filed under the name Oryza sativa (Asian cultivated rice). RNAcentral's name for it is "long non-coding RNA (OSAT_LNC000242)". The record is from RNAcentral. Lineage: Eukaryota; Viridiplantae; Streptophyta; Magnoliopsida; Poales; Poaceae.
CUGCAUGCAUGUUAUGAAAACUCCUCAUCUCAUGAACUUGUACCAUGGAUCAAGUAAAAAGUAGCUACGAUCACCAAAGCCCUGAUAACUGAUUGGGUUUCUUACGGUGUGAUGAUAGCGCCAAAGAGUGCGAUCGCAUUGGCAGCAGCGCCUUUCCCUUGGAGAGAAGGGACAAACAUGCCCUUGACCACCUCUCCUGCAGACGGCCUCAAAUAGCUUAGCUCUCCGAAGAAGCAAGCUGCCAUAGUGAACAUGAAUGCUGCUAUGAUGAACUCCAGCUUCCGAGCCUGGUGGACAUGUCAUAUGGUAAGGUCAAUUCGUCAGUAGCCCAUUCUCAGUGUAAUUCAUCUGACAAUCAUAUAAGUCUGAGAAAUUCUUUGCGCACCCCAAAUCUCUGUACUCCAAGAAGCAAGAGGGUGCUGAACACUGUGAGAAUAACUCCAGCCCACACUGGAAUCUUAAGCAAUAUGUUGAACGCAAAAGCUGUGCCCAACACUGCACUAACAAAAGAACGUGUUACUCAUGCUAAAUCUAGCACAGAAAUAAAUAAAUAAAUAAAUAAAUAAAUAAAUAAAUAAAUAAAACAUCGAUCAACCUUCAGGAAUGUCAUCAGAAAUCACCGCCAACUCCGCAAUGAUCCAUAAGAAAAUGUUGACAUAGUGCGGGUACUCUUCCCUGCACAGUUCAGCAAGGUGCCUUCCUGUACAGAACUCAACAAAAGCAUGGACAACAUAAGAUGAUAAGGUGAUGAUGCAUGAUUAGCAUGCAAAGAGCAAGGUUAAUGGUUAAGUGAAAUAUACCUGUUUUCACUCCAAGGUUGGCAGCUAAUGUUUGGAUCAGAAGUGCAAAGACCAUCCCAACUAAGAUGACCCACAGAAGCUGUUCAUUGUAAAAUGUAAAUUGAUGUUACCAGAAGAAGCAUUUUAUAUAAAGAGGAGGCAGGAAAAACGAAAUAGUUAAUUUUGUUUUUCUCCUACUUUUCUGUUUCUUGAUUGAAUUUGUCUUCUUUAAAUAUUAGGAAAGAAACAAAUUAUUGACCACCAUUUACUAGGCAUGGGAGACUUUGUUUGAUUUCGUGUACUACUGCUACUAUUAUAUCAUAUAUAUAAGGUUCAUGUCAUGAUAGAGUCAUCUCAAGUCAAUGAUUGAUAUUCCAACGUUCUUAUAUGUGUACUCCCCAAAAUAAUCCAAUUUUCUUUCUUCAAAUAAGACAUUGUUGCUUAUGCUAGUUAACGGGGAGUCCUUUUGGUACAGUCCUUAGGAUAGACUUAAGUUUAAACUUUGAUUAUUUAGGCCUUUAAGGAAACAUAUUUCAAUAUUCUGUAAAGGCCACACCCUCAGUGGAAGGUUUAGAAUUCUUCUUGUUCAGCUAUGAAAUCAGUGCAAGAAAAUCUCAAAAUAUUAUUUAUAUUUGGAAUUUUAAAGAUAUUUCAAGUCAAAACAUCCAGGAAUACCUCUAAAAUGUUUAAGAGUCUGUUUUGUUCAGAUUUGAUGCCCAAAUAAGUGUUUUCCUGACGCUUAUACUAAGUAGGUUCUUUGUAAUAGUUAACAAUUUUCAAAGGCCAAACCAGGCAAUUUUCCAACUAAUAAAUGGUUCCAAGAUAGUCUUUCAAUCAUUUAUUCCAAGAUUGGGAGCCUUUCACCAGGUCUUUAUUUGAUUAACCUUGGUUACAUUCACCCUUUCCAUGCGCAGGCAAAAAUCUAUGACACAUGGUUAAUUAGUUCGUAAAAGUAGUUCAGAUCCAAGACGAAGAGGCAAGAACUAUGCAGUGUACCUCAUACUUGAAGUCAGCUCCAGCUUGCAUGUCAGUUUCCACUGUCAAAUCAUGUUUCAGAAAAAAGCUAUACCACCUCAACCUCUUCUUUUUCUUUUUUUCUUAAUGAGCGUAUCAAAACAAUAUGAAGCUCUAGGCAAAAGAUAGGAGCUUACAGUUGCUAGGAUCUAGGAAGCCAAUGGCCACCAGAGCUCCAGGCCCAACAUGAGCCAAGAAUUUCCUCCAUCUUGGCUGUUCCACCCAGCAAAAAGUAAGCAUAGGAUUGAAACAAGCACUAGCUUAUUGUGGCAUUAGAACUCCAUGAAUGCGCAAAAUGUAGUCGCUUACCUGCACCCGAAACUGCCCAUCUUUUUCACUGUCAAUAGUCUUUUCUUUGUACUCAUCAGUCUCACUAACACUCUGCACCACACCUCCAUGGAGAGUUUCUCGUCCAACCUCUCUCAUCUCACCAGUCCCUUCCAUAUUCUAUGUUGCUAAUGCACCUUGUCUGGAAGAUAUGAAAAAGUAUGUCUUGCUCUAGUUAAGAGCCACAUACAUCCUUUGUAUUUUAUAGACCCAGAGACCAGUUGACGACUGUCCCAUACAGAAACCAAAACUUCAAGUACAGUACAAGAGCAGAGUGACUAGCUAUCAUGAUGGUUCCUGUUGAUUCCUCGCUUAUUAGAUGCCUUUCAGAUCUGCUACUCUUGUUGAUUGCAGUAACAACUGAGUCUGCAAUAUUAAAAUGGAAAUUCUAAUCACUUUAUUUUCAGUAUUAACCACCUCAAUCUAGAAUGUUUAAGCUGCUGAAAAAUAGCACUUUUAGUCACAUUUCAACAGCCCCCGCCGCACUAUAAGUUGUUUAGUCCACUGCUACAACUAAAUGAGAUGCAAAUAUUUUUCAUCGGACAAAUAAGUCAUCACAAAUUCUGGUAAACUUGGGCAAACAAAUGCCCAGUGGCAUGAGGGGCCCAAGGCUAACUGCAGCAUAACACAAUCACAAUUACAAGCUGACUACCACGCAUAAGAAUUCAAAGCUGCAUUACCCAAACACCUAGACGUAAAUUCAGCAUGACCAUCGAUGUUGUCAUCCGUCAAACCUGAGGAUCUACCCAAUAGGAUUUUUUAAAUUAGAAGGGAUUUCCUUAUCUCCCAUACACAGCCACAUGGGUCGUAUGGGUCUUCGCUCCUAGAUAUUUUUUGGCCCUUAUACAAAGUUUGAUAUGUUCCUUUACAGCUAAACACCUAGGCUUAGGAAACACCAACGUCUCUACCUAAGAUACAAUAAAAUACAUUUGAUAAAUUGUUAAGAACAUUAAUGCCGCCGAUGUACCUUUGCUUGGCUGUUGCUUUCCGAUUAUUUUGGAGCCUUUCGGGCAGCCAUUUUUCGGUGAAGGCAACCUUAAGCAGCUCAGACCUGGUGCAGUCCACAUCUCUGUAUUCUAUUGUAGCUAUUCAGAUGAUAAGACUUAAAAAAUAAGCAACAGAUGAAAGGACAAUAAGCGUACAGUCAGAUUGUACUUAAAAAACCUCAAACCUACUCUCCAUUGGAAUCCAUAUUCUACUCACCAAAUUGGAACUAGCAGAGAAGAGUGUGAUGUGACCACCACCUCAUGGAGGAUGAGGUGCCCCUCCAUGCACCGAAUGGUUAGCUUGCUAACGAGUUGAUACGCAGGCGUGCGAAAAUUUAUAUUGUCGGCCAUGGCUUCAUUUGGUCGAAUGUGGAAGUCAAGAACUGUGGAUUUAUGGCAGUGGACAGAAGAACAAUGACGGGAAGUGGGAACUAGACUUGGGAACGGGGAAUUUAAAAUGCUAUUAAAAUUUUAAAUUAAAAUUGGGAAUUGCAUUUUAAAAUUUAAAUUGCAAAUCGACUUAGGUUUUCAGUAGUACUAAAAUCCCAGAGGCACAGGACGAUUUGGAGUGACUAGCAGUGAUCAAAUUAUUGGCCACGAAUCAACCAGAAAGCUCAUAAACCCCUACUACCUAAUAAUUUCACAGGACAGUAAAACACACGAGUAGCUCACCAUCGCCGAGGGAGAGAGGCGCGGGCGGCUCCUCGCCGGGGGGCUGCGGCGACGACGGGGACGACGAGCGCGAGGCGGACCUCGACAUGGUCCCCCGCGGCGCGGCGCUCGGGAGGGGCCGCGGGGUCGACGAGCACCCUCGGGACGGGGACCCUGUGGGGGACGGGUUCCCCGGCGAGCGAGAAGGAGAGGAGGAGGAGCGAGUCGUCGAGGCGGAGGUCGGCGGCGGAGAGCUCUGGGCGGAAGAGGUAGAGGCGUCGUCGCCGGCAACGGCGGCCAUUUCGGUCGCGAAGGUCCAGGCGGAGGAGUUUGAAGUCAGGCCGAGCUUUAAUAAGAGAAGCCCAGCCCACUCUACAUAAUAAAAGAAGCCCAGCCCACUACCUAAUGAAACGAGCCCAGCCAAUAAAAUAAAAGAAGCUCAGCCCACUACAUAAUGAAACGAGCCCAGCCAAUAAAAUAAAAGAAGCCCAGCCCACUCUACAUAAUGAAGCGAGCCCAGCCAAUAAAAUAAAAGAAGCCUAGCCCACUAAUAAUAAUAAUUGUUUAACAAGCGUCAGACGUGUUGGUUACGUACGCGGACUCGUGGAGUACUACACAUAUGUGUGCAGGUGCAGCACAUUGCGACCCCGACCGCAACCCAAUUAGGCGCGGCCGCGAUGAACGACGACGUGGUGGCUGAGAUCCUCUUGCGGUUGCCGGCGAAGAGCGUCCUCCGGUGCCGCGCCGUCUGCCGGAGCUGGCGCCGCAUCACCACCGCCGACUACUUCGUCGCCGCCCACUCCCGCCGCCGGCCGCUGCAGCUCCUCGGCUACACGGGGCCCAACGACGAGUCGCUGCGCGACGACGAAUUCUUGGUCACCUCCGCCCCGGUCACCGCCGUCCCAGCCGUCUACGACGGGACGACACGGAGUGCCGGCGAUUUCUGCGGCGCAACGUGCGCCUGUGCCUCCGUGGAUCCUGCGACGGGCUCCUGCUGUUCGAGCAGGUGAACGCCGAGACCAUGCUCAUCUGCAACCCGGCGACACGGCAGCUCGUCAAUCUGCCGCCGGUGAGCACUGGCGGCGUCGUCGUCGACCGGAACGACCUCCGGCUCCACUCUUCCGCCUUCUACUUCCACCGGCCGUCCGGCGAGUACCGCGUGCUGUGCUACCGGAAGGGCACCAACUACAUCCUCUCCACCGGCUCCGGCGAGGCGCGGCGGCUCGGCCCCGUCCCCGACCAGCAACGCAGGACUUGCUCCUUCUCCGCCGUGACCGUCGGCAAGACGGUCGGCGAGAGCGUGUACUGGGACCGCCGUGAGGUCGACGAUCGGAGCCGGAUAAUGGCGUUCGACACGGUGUCGGAGAGGUUCCGGGCGGUCGCGCCGCCGCCGGUGGAGCAUGCCGACGAAGGCCCGCUGCUGGACAUGCAUGGACGGCACGCUCGCCGUGGCGGCGAUGCCGGCGGAGCCGUACCUGGACGUGUGGGCCAGAGACGGCGGCGGCGGCGAGAGGUGGGUGCGGCGCCUCCGGGUGGAGCUGCCGGCGGGAUAUUAUUCCAAGGAGUUGAAGCCUCGGGGGCUUGGUAGAGCUAUCUUGGACGACGCGGGUCUACUGCUUGUCACCUUGUCCUGCAGAUGGGGCUUGGUGUACGACACCAAGGAGAAGAGGAUGCUCAGCUGCUCUCAUCGUAGCAGAAGCAAUCCGUGGAAUGCAGCUUACCGGGAGAGCCUCAUCACGGUGAAACCUUGCACACCCCCGCUCCCGCUAAACUCUGAGCCAUGGUUAAAUUUCUACUAGUGGUUGCAGUGAUAUGAGUAGCGCCCCAAUAUCUCAAGUUCAAAUUUUUAUAGGAGCGAAUUUCAGAUUGGAUUAUUUAAGAGCUAAGUUCCUAAUUUAAAAAGGCUGCAUAUAUAGUUGGAUGUAAAGGCUAGAUAAAAAAACCCUACUAACAAAAAUUACUGUCCACGAGCAUACUGUCGACACAUCGGUGACGGAGCCGCCGGUGAGGAAGUCGGCGUCGGGGGAGGAGAGUACGCAGGGGCCUCUCCGGUGAGAUGCCAACGUCUCCAUGGCGGAUACCACCUUGCUCGUGUCGUGACUCAUGAGGGUUUUGUUUUUGUUUUUUUUCCUUUUUUGUUCUUUUUUUUUUUACCGUGGGGUUUUGGGGGCUAAAGAAGAAGAUGGUUACGUGUAUGUACAGCUGGGUCCAGUUCUAAAAAAAAUACAGCUGGGUCCCCGGGUCCACCGGCAGUGAAACAAUUCCGGUGGACCAAGUCUAUGGCAAAGCUAGCCGUGUGGCAUAGGGCCCACGAAUUAGUAGCUGGGUUCACGUGGACCAGCAACAGUAACCCAACUAGAGUUAUAUCUCUUGAACAGAGGCACAAGCGAGAAAAUUGCACAUCUACCAUUCCAUAAGAAUGGCUUCGCUAGAAUACCAUUAUGAAAAUGGGCUUCGCUAGAAUACCAUCCUCAAUCAGAGUGUCUUCGCCAAAAUGCCAUCCUGGACGGAAAUGCCCCUGGCUCUUCUUUUUCCUCCAUCCCGUGCGUGAAGAGCUCGCCGGCGACCAUGGCCAGCUCCACCGCCGCGCCACCGAUGCUGCCUUGCCGACUGCGAUUGGGGUGUUGCUCUCCCUGCCAUCCCCGCCAGUGCCGACGGCGGGCGCGGGCUCCAGCGGAGGGCUGCACGGUGGCGGCAGGUGCGAUCGACGGCGGCAAGCGCGGGCUCCGGUGGAGGGCUGGUCGAUGGCGGCAGGCGCGGUUGACGGCAGCGGGCGUGGGCUCCAGCGGAGGGCUGCGCGGUGGCGACGAGGAGGCGGCGGCCAGGAGCGGCGCCACCGGCUCCCCGUGCAUGCGCGUCAGCCGGAUCCUCGCCGUCGCUGCCGGAGUCCUUCCGUGAUGACCUCAGCUGCACGAGCACACCACUCUACCGUCGGCAAGGCGGCAUCGGUGGCACGGAGGUGUAGCUGGCCAUGGUCGCUGGCGAGCUCUUCACGCGUGGGAUGGAGGAAGAAGAAGAGCCAGGGGCAUUUUCAUCCAGGAUGGCAUUUUGGCAAAGACACUCUGGUUGAGGAUGGUAUUCCAACGAAGCCUGUUUUCAUAAUAGUAUUCUAGCGAAGCCAUUCUUAUGGGAUGGUAGAUAUGCAAUUUUCUCGGCACAAGUUGAAUAACCUAACCUAAGGCUAUUGCUUCUGUAGAGGUUAGAACAUUUCAUCACACUUUUCUAAACCUCUAUGAUCAAGCAGAACCAUAAUCCCAGAAGGAAGAUGCCCCCAACUUAAAACCAAGAGAAUAUGAAAAUGCAAGGCACGUUUGAGGUAAUUUGCACAGAUCAUAUGAACAUAAUCAGUUGCAUCGAGGCACAUGAAUCCGUUGCAUACAGAUGUAAGAAGAAACUGACAACUUAUACAGUAUGCCAACAGACACCCAUUCCAAACUUAUGCAAAGACAAGAGACGUGCAAAUCGAUUCGUCAUGAAUCAUGAUUCUUACAUAGGUAAAAAAAAUGGAAUGCGAUGGUUUCACUGCUACUAAAUGCUAAGUACUGUGUGAAGUAGAUUGCCAGAUGGUUGAACCACCUACCACCGGAAAUAUACUGAACCGAAUUCACUGGUAGCUGGGUCUACCGUUACUCCAUUUUGAUGUCACACUGUCUUUUGACAGCAGAAGAUAAGCUCAAUGUCUUGCAGUUUAUCGAGAUGGUCAAUGUGUUCACUGAAAGAACAAUAAACUGUGCAUGGAAAGGUAUUAGGACAUUGGGACAUGAUCACAUGAUCUAAGUUUAUCAAAUUUUCAAGUCAAUGCUCUGGAGACGAGAGGAACAUUCUCUAGAGAGAAAAGCAACAAAGUGGAACUUUAUCCCUACCUGAGCUUAGGCUUCCAAUAAAUUCAUCUAUUUGGUGCCUCAUCAUGUACAACUCUUCAGCCCUACAUUUGGAUGAUCACUCCUCUAUUAUCCUGCGUGCUGGGAAAAGCAGAAGUUCAAAAUGGUGGCAGAAUAAGAGUAAAUAAACAAUGUAUACUCAUUUGCACACAACAGACUUGCCCAAGUGCAACAGUUGCCAAUGAAGCUGGCCAAAAUUGAUAUCGAACUAUGAUUUAGACAAAGUAUGACACUGUGCAAAUAAUCGAAUGUACUAACGUUGGGUUUCCCCAGAGGCGGCGCAGAUGAAGGUCCCAAUCUAGCACAAAUCAAUGGGAUGUGCAGCUGUGCACAACAUUCAUCAUCAACUGUCGCUUCAGUUCACAUCGAAUCCCUAUACAAAAAUAAGCAAGAACGAUUAGUUCAGCAUUCAGAAAAACUUACAUUAAGUUGUAUGAAUCAAGCUGUAUUGCAUAUAUAUUGUUGCAAACAUAGUUUCGAACGUCUCAGAAUAGUAUAGAGCUUUAAAAUCAGAUCAAUUGCAUUUGGGCCCAAACCAGUAAAACUUACCUAUGUAUAGCUUAACACCCAUUCACAGGGAAUCUGAAAGUUUAGAAUAGAGUAUUAAAAACCCCACAAUAUAACUGAACGUUGUUGUUUUAAUGGCAAAAGAAAACAGGGAUUGCUCUAGUUUCAAAAGCUGCAAUUCAUUGUAGUACACCGACAUCUGAAUGCCCAGUUUAAAGGUAGAUUUGUUUUUUCUUAUGCUGGAUUGUAUGAAUUCGACAUAAUUUAUAUAAAGAAUUAUCAUUCAUUUGCCAAUCAUAACUAUUAUACUGUUAGUCCAAACUCCAAAGAAGAGUAAAUAUAACAGCACAAUGCACUGAACAUGUGAGAUGUUGAGCGCAACAAUAGUGUGGCAAACACAUGCUGCUCAUGUACUUAAUUGCAAAACUUACCAGAUAUAGGGUUAGAUCCUUUGACAUGUCUUUCUUGACAUAAUUGCUUUAAUCAUAACUCUUUCUGAAAGGUAGCCUAAAAUAGCAACACUGCACAGCAAAACAAAAAAAAAACCUAUUAUAUGCAAAAAUCUACUAUAUAGUAGUGCUGUCAUGUAACGAUGAUCUUAAAGUGCCAACAUACAUGAUAUUUAGUGGGUUGUAGAACAAAAGAAGUGCUUGGACAGUAUGAACCUCAGACAGGUAAUCUAGCGCAUGUGUUAACAUAUCAGUGGAUCUUUCGAUGAAUAGAGAGUACAACAUUCAACCAAAGAGUGGUUAUGAGUUAUCAAUGAAGAUGAAAUGAAAUUUGUUGCCUUAUUAUACUCACCUUUCAUAUGUUGCGAUCUACUUAUAUGUUAACCAUCCAUAUUGAAGCUUACAACAUAUGUGCUUUCAAGUUGUAUUAGCUAGUUACAAGCAAGUUCUAAAACUUAUUAUCAUUCAUAAGCUUCUACUGUCUGCAUGUAAUCUAGGGUAAAGAGAAACUUACUCAGCCAGUGUUUUCUAGUACAUAAAUGUCAUCAUUCUGCUGCUGCUUAUUCUCAUAAACGUUGCCUCUUUGACCCCAUCCUGUCUUCACUCUCUUGGUGAUUUUCAUGACUGUGCGAGCACUGUCAUCUCUGUUGAAUCAGCAACAAAAUCAAUCCGUUGCAGCUCAAGUUCGACACACAAAGGUAGAAAGUGCAGACCUAUUUUUCUAGACAGGAUAAAUUUCAUUUCUAGGUUCUGAGUACAUAUGCUUUAUAUACUAAAUCAGUUAUAAUGCUUUGUUGCUAGUCUAACCAAUGCAAAAACUUGCACAAGAAAAUAGACUAAAGAAAAUGUCACAAACACAUCAGAACUAAAUUUGUCAUCACAAUACCUGUGCAAAAGAGCAUGCCAAUCACUUUCAGCAUGCUUGUCCUGUCCAUGCUUCUGACUUCUAGGCUUAAAUUCGCCAGAAGGAGCUGCAAGACCAUUAUCACGCUCUGCCAUUUCCAUCAUUUUUUGUGAGAGCAUAUCAACAUGUUGCUUCUUUCCCCUUUCACUCAAUGCAUCAAUCACUGGCAUGAAUGCUGCUGGAUCAAAUGAAUAUCCUUUAACCAUUAACAGCUUGAGUAACCUAUGUCCAUGAUCCACCUCAUCAACUUUGCAGAGUCCCUCAAUAAUCUGCUUAUAUGGGAAUCUAUGGAUAGAGAUCCUUAAUUCAAGCACUGUUUCUAGAAUAUUCAUGGCUUCCAACCAUCUACCAUAAGUAGAUAACUGGGUGCACAUUAAACUAUAGAGCACUUCCUUCUGACCACAUGUACUCAGAGAAGCAUCAAAUACUCUCUGAGCUGCAGAGAAAUCUGAAGUUUUGCAGAAAGCCUUAAUCAACAACUCAAAAGAAGUUAUAUUAGGAACAAUUUCAUUCUGUAACAUUUCAUCUAAAAGAGGCAUGGCCUUGUUCACCAUUCCCCGUUCACAAAAUGACUUUAUCAGGCUAUUAUAGGUCAUGACAUUGGGACAAAUCCCCUUCCCCUUCAUUUCACUAAUCAAUUUAAGGAUUUCAUCUGAAUUGUGUUUUUCCCGAAAUCCCCAUAUCAACAAGUUGUAUGUCCUUGUGCUUGGCUUGCAACCUUUCUUUUCCAUGUCCCUCAGGACCUUAACAGCCAGAGAAGUCUUCCCAUGCUUGCAAUACCCAUGAAUAAAGGUAUCAUAUAGAACCGAAUCAGGAGAGAUAUCUUUGCCUAUCAUCUCAAGCAAUUUCUUCUUUGCUUCAUCAAACCUGCCCUCUUUGCACAAUGCACUCACCAGUGUAGAAUAAGUGAUUCGGUCAGGAAGACAUCUUUUGCUGCUGGAAGAAUCAGUAAGUAAACUUAGGAAUGAAUAACCUAAUCUGCCAAGAGCCAAACUACCUUCGUUCCACAUGCCAUCGACAAUGUCCAUGGCCAUAUCCAAUUUGUUGUUUCUACAUAGUCCAUCAAUAAUGAUAUUGCAGCUUGCUGUAUCCAAGCUGUAUCCUUUCUCACUCAUCCUCUCUAACAAUCGUUCUGCCUCUGUAAUCCUACCAGCUUUCCACAAACUUUGCAGCAGAACAUUGUAAGUAAAUGAAUUCGGGGCACACCCCUUCUGUGCCAUCUCAUCAAGAAUCCUAUUGGCUGCAGCAGCAUUUCCCUCUGAGCAAUAAGCGUGGAGCAAACUAGUAUAGGUCACAACAUCUGGUGUCAUGACACCACUCUUCACAAAAUCCUCCACUUUCCUCACAUCAAACGCUUUGCCCUCCUUGCACAACCCAUCCACAAUAAUAUUGUAGGUGUAGCUAUUAGGUUGAACACCCUCAUGCGCCAUCUCCCUCAGCAGCUCCUGUGCUUCCCCAACCAUUCCAUUCCUCACCAGCCCUGACAACCAACGGUUGUAACUCUCAACCCGCCUCAAGAAACCACCGCACCUCAUAAUAUCCACCAGGACUCUUGCUUCAUCCACCAUACCAGCCUCACAGAACCCACUCAGCAUCACGUCAAACGUCACCUGGUCAGGCCUCGGCAGACCUCUCUCCCAUUUUUCCUGCAUGUCGUUGAAUAUCCUGUAUGCAUCUAGCACCCGCCCAGCUUUGCAGAGUGCAGAGAUCCUCGCAUUGAAUGUGACCACAUUUGGAGCAAGACCCUCAUCUCUCAUGCGCUCAACUAGCCUCUCAGCCUCAUCCACCUGGCCCUCGCGGCAGAACCCCGCGACUACUGUGUUGCAUACCACCAAAUUCAUCGUUGGCAUUGAAUCGAGCACCCCAAGCGCGUCCAUACUCCUCCCCGCACGGCAGUACCCACGCGCCAGGAUCCCGAAGCUGAACUCGUUCCUUUCCGGCAUUGCGUCGAACACCCUGCGGGCGAGCUCCAUCCGGCCAGCGGCACAGAGCGCCUGGAGCAGGAUGUUGCGCGUGAAGACGUCCGGGGCGGCGCCGGACAAGAGGAGAUCCUUGUAGAGCGACUCGACGAGGUCGAAUCGGGCCUCCUGGAGCGCGGCGAGGAGCAGGCGGUUGUAGACGGGGGUGGGCGGCGGCGGCGCGGAGGGGAGCGCGCAGAGGGAGCGGAACGCGGAGAGGGAGAACCCGAGCGGGAGGCGCAGCGGCGACGAUGAGGAGGAGAGGAGCGCGAGGAGGUGCGGCGCGGGGUCCGGGAGGGAGAGGAGGUGGCGGAGGAGGCUCGGGAGGAGGGCGGCGUCGUGGGCGGCGGCGGCGGCGAGGAUGCGGGCGAGGAAUGAGGUGGAGUGCGGCGACGGCGGGGACGCGGCGGAGGUGAGGUGGAGGAAGAGGCGGAGCGCGACGGCGGGGGAGGCGGCGUUGCGGCGGAGGAGGGCGAGGAGGUGGUUGGCGGCGGUGGGGGAGGUGGACAUGGGAAGGUGGCGGCCGCGGGGCGACGGCGGCGGAGAGGGUUUAAACCGGCCCGGGCCGACUGGCCGGUGGGGUACACGUCUGGUCAACGGCCCAGUCCACUGACACUGACUGGUGGGCCCGGCCAUGUUACAUUUUUUAUGUUACAUUUUUUGUGUCCGUAUUUCCACUUGCUGCUUAGAGCAGAUACUACAGAUUUGUAGCCAGCUAUAGCACGGACUCCAAGACACAAUGUGUGUAUGAUAAGUGGGACUAGAUGUUAAUAGUGUAGUACGUAACUAUUGUAUGAAUUGGCUAUUAAGUUGACUAUAGAUGAUUUAUAGCUAGUAGUUGGCUAUACUAUUAAACUUGCUCUUGGUAUACUCCGUACCUUUUUUUUUCUGAAAUUUGCGCUUAAUUAGUUCGGUGUUCUGGGUUCCUAACCCUGCCUCGUUUUCCGAACACACGUUUUUAAACUAUUAAACGGUGUGCUUUUUUAAACAAAUCUAUAAAAAGUUGCUUAAAAUAAUCAAAUUAAUAUAUUUUUUAAAAAAAAAUAGCUAAUACUUAAUUAAUCACAGACUAUUUUAGUUCAAGCUUACUCCACUCCAAACAUUUUGAAACAGGGUGAAUAUACAGGAAUAAAUUUGUUAUUUCACGCGGCUGUGAAAUUGUAAGUUGGAAACAGCAGACGUUACAGAGUAUUUCACGUUACAUGAAGCAGUGCAGCACAAACCACUGCAGAUUUACUCAACAUGAGAUCAUUGCCAGGCUAUAGAUAAAGAGAGAAAAAAAAACAUAACCUAACACACAACGCUGACUGAGGUAAAGAUCAGUAAAAUGAAAAAGAAAAGAAAAAAGAAGAAGCAAGAAACUAAUUCCAGUUGUGAGAAGAGAUCAGAAGCAAGAAACAUUCUCGGUUCUCAUGACCAGGUUGCAAGUCGAGUAGAUGGAAGCGGCAGCAGCUUGCACUGCCCACUCGCUCUCAGGAGUCUCCGAGUUCUUCAGUUUCCUGAAAGACAUCGUAGUAGUAGUAUUUCAGUAAGAUAUAUCACGCAUAAAGUGAAAUGACUUGGAAACUACUCCCUCCGUCCUAAAAUAUAAGCAUUUUUAGCUAUGAAUCUGGACAGAUUCAUAGCUAAAAAUACUUAUAUUUUGGGACGGAGGGAGUAAGACAUUUAGUUGCUAUAUAUUUGAGUACUUUGUUCAACUAAGUCUCAUCUAACAGAAAAGGGUGGAUCGAAUCGAAUACGUUGAGAGGUGAUGAUGAGCUAACCAUAAUUCAGCCAUUGGUCCUACUAAUGGAGCCUCGCAAGCCAUGUAUCUGAGCCCUUUCUCACAAUUCAUUUGCAUUUCUUGCACUUCCUUCAACCGAUUCUCCUGCAACAGUAAUUUAGCACGGUGUCAGUAGUGGAACACUGCUUACCAGAAUGGAUGUGCAAUUGCGCAUGCACAUAUGCUUUUGUCAUAAAAGGCGAUAUUGCGAGAAUAUGCUAGUUUUGUGCACCUAUAAUGAACACUAUUAUGAAAAAAACUCACCAGAUGCAUCCCCUCCUCCUGAAGUGUUCUGUCCAUCUGAAGAAAAAGAGACCGCCAUCGUGCCACAUGCGCUUCUGGAACUGUUUUUCCAGUAGAUCCACCAUCAGAAGAAUGUACAACGGAUGGUUCGUUCUCUUGGUUAUAUGAAAAUUCUGUUGAUAUUAGGUAGGGCAGUUCAGUCUGAAGGGCAUUCCUGACUCUCUUCUUGCUGCGCUUCAAAGCUUCAAGAAUAAAGAAAGCAUAUUAAGCAGAAUGUAUGGGUUACAGCUUUGAAUUAUGUUUCAAACUCAAGAAUUAGUACCAGCAAGGCGCCCUCUGAUGUCCUGCUGUAGUAGCUCCAACCACUGAGAAGCAACAUUGGCCGCUGAUCAUCAAAAAGGCAAGGCAACUGUCAGGUAUAGAUAAUUCUACAAACAGUGAACAAUGCAGUUCUGGUGAGAGUGUAUGAUUGACGAAAUAAGAGAUCAAGUAUACCUUUUACUGAUAACACAGUCAUGUAAUCAUGAUUAGAUGCAAAAUCAUCGGCUGAUGUACUGCAGGUCCUGUCUGAAGCCAUAGUGACUGCUGAUGAGAGUUGCAGUUUCAGAUCAUCACCGUCCUCUGGAAGGAAUUGUGAAGCAGUAGGCAACCCUUGGUGAAACGGCAUGUUGCUACCUUUCAUCAAGAAGUGGCAAUUCAUCAUAUUACCCCCAUAUCUCUGGUCCUGAGCCUUCUCACUAAAUUCUCUCCCUCUUUCGCCUGUUUGACUAGCAUGAACUGCCUGGUUCUCUUUCUCAAGAUUCUCAGAGUGCACCAUAGCCUUUAUUAUGGAGUAAACUUGCUUGCUGUUUCUCACAUGGUUAAUGAUUCCAGGGUUUAGCCCAGAUAAUAGGCCACUCGGAGCAGCAACCUUCAUGAACUUGUUUGUCUGUUCCUUCUGAGCAAAAGUGUUCCUUUUGGAUUCAUCGUCUCUUUUCCUUUUGAUGGGUCGACCGCGCGGCCUAGGACCCACUGCAGUUCCUUGAGAUGAAGAAAGGAACCCAUUCUGCUUCAUUUCUCUCCACUUCCUGUGUGACUCACUCUCUCCUACAGCCCCAGUUGUGCUACCACACUCUGACGGAUCACUAACUUUCGUCUGCCCCAACUUCUUGUAAGGAAAGAAGGGAUUAAGUUCUGCAGCAUUGGAAGAAUCUACUAUAUUAAGAUCCAAUCCAAGAGGUGCACCAUUCAUUCUGUUCUCUACAUGUCUUACAUCAGGCUUAGGUUGCAAGUCUGUCCUGAUGUUUUCUUUAUCACACAAAUUGUUCACCUCUGCUGCAUCAGAAGAACGGCCCAAGGUGAGGCAGGCAGCCUCUGGCUGAAGAAAUGAACCAGUCUCAAGCAAUGAGGGCUCUCCAUCUUCACUUCUUGUUGCAACUUCAGCAGUAACUUGAGGUGUAUCUUUCUUGUCACAUGGAUGUAGACAAGAUUUUGCUCGAUCUGACGAAUCUGAAAUCCCCACUCUCAUAUCUACAUGAUAUAGAAUAAUUAGUAAGCAUUAGCAGUGCAAAGAUUAAGGGAAGUAACCAGUAACACGGUCAAUUAGGAUAAAUCAUGCCUUGGACAGUGUACAGUACAUAAUAGGAAUUCAGUGGUGUGAAUUGAGGCUAAGGAUGUGUACAGUACAUAAUAGGAAUCAGGAAUGCAUGGGUUUAUAGCCGUGUUUUUAAAAAAAAGUGUACAAGGCCCUGUACAAGGAUGCAUACAAGGAACGAGUGACCCAACCUUGUACCGCUUAAGCCGCAUAAGUUCUACAAGGUGGGGUGACCGCACGAAACCACAUACCGCUUUUCAAAACAUUGGUUUAUGGCAAUAGAAAAGAGUAACACUCACGAAUUAUUAACUUUGCAUGGCACAGAAAUCAAUUGUCAACAGCAGUUUCAUCCUGAAUUUAUCAUUUGCACAUUCUACACAUCCAGGAGUAAUCUUAUGUUGGUAGCGGUACAGAAAUAUGCUGAGUUUGUUAUGUCAAUUCGCUCCUCAACAGAAGCAAACAAGAAUUCUUAAUUACAGCUACAAGAAAGGCUAAUCGAAAAUUCGAUCUACUCAUACGCUUAGAUCUGUAGAGAAGCACCAUAAUCUACCGUCACAUGUCGAAAUUCUGUGCUGCCAGCGAAUGAAGUACUACUGCAUACAAAGAGUUCAAGAACAACUACCACCCAAGAAAGUAAAAAACUAGCAUUUCCAGAUCACCCCCGCGCCAAGAAUCAUCCAACCAGCACAGAUCAGGAACCAAGACGGCAAGAAAAGAAAAUCAAGAAGCGCCGAGAACCCCCCACCUCCCAAUCCGACCGCCGCCCGCGACCCGCACGACGCCUCCGCAGCCACCGCCCGACCCAAUUCCUGCAAGAACACACACCACAACGUCAAAUCCAGGCUCCCCAAAUCCAAAACCAAGAACCAACGACACCAACAUCCAAGACCACCCCCCCCCCACCCCACCUUCGUGGUCGUCGUCGGCGGCGGCGGCGGGGACGACGCGCCCGAUCCGGCGGGAUCCGAGGCCACACGCAGCCCCGCGGGGUCCAUCCGGGAGGCCGCGGCGGCGCGCCCGCGAAGGGGGAGGGAUCUUGGAGCUAGGGUUUGGGGGGGGGGGAGCGGGGCGGAGGGAAGCUUUGCGUGGAUUUGAAAUGGAGACGGGUGCGGAGGCGUGCUGUGUGGGGUGGGGUGGGGUUUUUAUGGUGUGCGGGUUUUUUUUGAAUUCGAGCGGAGGUGGGCGCGGUUUGGAUGGGGAUGGAUGGAUGGAUAAUGAGACAGAUGGACGGACGGAUGGGUGGAUGGAUCGCUAGCCUUUAAUCGCAGGAGCGGCCUUGCGGUUGCGGAUGAUAGGAGGGGAGCCCGCGGAUUUAUUUUCUUCUUCUUUUUUUCCCACCUUGGUGGUUUGAAGGUGAUUGGUUUGAAUUUUGGUUGUAUACACAGCUGUGGGUUUGAAUUUUGAAUGGUGGGCUACUGACCUUGUGUGACAUAUGGUGAACACGCUUCAAUUCUCUUGAUGGAGUAACGAGGGGAGGAACAUCAAAAGGACAAAAGGAACACAAGCCAUGCUAUAGGCUAUAGAAACUAGUACUAGACAAGAUGAUAAACAUUGCUUGAGAAUGUUCUAACAGGGCACUUGAGACGUAUUUUGUGUGUACAUGUUCUUUAGUGUGCACCUCCAAAGUCACAUGCCACAUAUAUGGUUGUAUGUCUAACAUAAACGCAAAAAGUUGCACAAGAGUGCAUACCGUCUAACAAGAUCAUUUGUGGGAUGGAAGAAGUAUAUUUUUAUAAUUUUGCUUAUGAGCAUUGCUACAUAUGCAAGCCUCAACACGAGAGAAUUCAUUAUAUGGCCCUAGGUUUAUCACAUGUCUACAAUUUACCACUGACUUGUCACGUUGUACAUUAUGCUAUCGACUUUUGCUUAACUUUUACGAUUUACCAUCGCUAUCUGGUUAGCCUCUGUUAGUAUUAUACAAUCUUAUCCAAAUGACCAAAAUACCCCUAGGAUAAAAACUUUCAAAAUUUGAACAAAAUUUUUGAAAUAUCAUAUUUUAAGUUUUUGCCAAAUUUUGGAUGUUUACAAUAUGAUAUUUUGGAAAAAAAUCCAAAUUUUGGAAGUUUUUGUCCUUGUGGUAUUUUGGUCAUUUAGACAAAAUUGUAUAACGGAGGCUAACCGGACAACGAUGGUAAAUCGUAGAAGUUAAGCAAAAGUCGAUGGCAUAUUGUAGAAUGUAACAAAGUCAGUGGUAAAUCGUAGACUUACGACAAACUCAAUUUUUUUUUGCGGGGACUUACGACAAACUCAAUGGCAUAUAUAUAAUAGAUUCUCUCUCUCUACAAAACUCUUAUAAACAAUAACCUUAGCUGUUUGAUUUAAGUAGAUAAAAGCUAUAGACAAUCUAGAUGUACUCACGAGUCACGACGUAAGAUGUAGUGUUUGUAAGAGUUUGGUAUGACACAAUUUAGGCCCUCUUUGUUUAGGCUUAGGCUUAUUGGCCUAGACUUUUAAGUCAGCUUAUUGGCUUAUAUGAUUUAUAAGCCGGUGGAUUUAAUGUCCUAAGUUUAGUAGUUGAGUCAUACAUCUACCUCACAUAAGCCAAAAAAGCUUCUCCAACCUAGCUUUUGGCUUAAUAGUGUUAGAGUGGCUUAUGGCUUUAAAAAGGCCAAACAGAAAAGCUGCUUGUUUGUUUAGGCUUAGACUUUUCGACUUAUAAGUUGGUUUAUAAGCCUAAACAAAGAGGGCCUUAAUAUGUAUAGACUUUUCCUUUGCGGAUUGACAAGGUAUUAGUCCAUACUCUCAUAUACACCCCAUAUUAAAACAUUAUAACUCAGGCAAAUAGGAUAGAGACCACUACCAAAAGUAAAAUUUUACAUCCUAAAAUAUGAUUCUUUCCGUCUCAUUUGAUACCAACCCUUCACUGAGGAUUUAUUUAGCAAAUGGGUUAUAAGAGGUGAGAUCGGGAUAGGAAAUAAGUGAAGGAACAAGAAAAUAAACCAACUGACUAUUUUGUUGUAUUAUAACUAUGGCUCGUUGUAUCUCCACUAGCUCCGACUCAUCUAGACGGUCGUUGUUGGAUGAAGGUCUCCAUCUUACGUUAUCAUGACUGAACUUAAGCAUUCAUCGACUUGUAUGCAGGGUUUUACGGUGCCAAUGCACACUUGAGGUAACACAAAGUGCCAUGUGUCGAUCAGAUUGUAAGUUAUGAAUAAUUUUUUCGUCACAAGUGCGGCGAUAUUUGGUACCAAACAAAAUGUAUGGCAUAUAAUAGUUAUAGUAAUCACUUUGGCUAACAAACUGCGGCAAUUCUAAGAUUUGAUGUGACAAUCUUUGCUACAAUCCGAACAAGCCUAAUAUUUUACAAAGAUAAUCCAUCGCAUAGCUAGAUCACAAGGAAAAAAGGCUAUCACGUGAACAUGUUCCAACCUAGUUCUGGCAACAGUUAGAGCACAUUUGGUUUUUCAGUUCGCAUUACGCAUCACUCUUCCGCGCCAUUCCAUCCAACAUUUUUAUGAGAUACAUGGGCCUCAUGGCCCAAAUAGGUGUUGUGUUUUUUCUCUUUAUUCUCAAACUUGCUUUUCUGUUUUCAAAUACAUAUGUAUAAAUUUCCAUGCAAUAGUUCUAUGUAGAAUAUUUCUAUGCUAAAAGUUUCUAUGUGUAGGUCCUAAUUGGUUACACAUAUUCUCUAAUAAGUCAAAACGACUUAUUAGAAAAUAAAAAUUAAUUUAUAGGUAAAAUUUUUUAUAUAUGUAUUCUUUGCGACUUAAAGCUAAUGUUAAAAAAACUACGUUGAAAAUAUCUUAAAAUCAAAUUCAAAAUUAAAUUUGAAAAUAUAAAUUUUGGCUUUAGCUUUGGCUUAUUAGGACAAUCAAUGGGGCUCGUAAACUUUCUAGAUCAACAUACUUUUCAAAACGUGGGGGCCUGAUUUCAAAUGAAUAUAUCCAAAACGAGGAAGGAAUGCCUAUUUCUAUCUCAUCUUCAUUCUAAGUUUAUCUGACACGAAAAAGGACCAUAGACACAUAUAUAGUUGACUCGCGCAACUUCAGUUCACGCAAACACAUGUUGAGAAGGCUAUUGGGCGAUCAGUCGCGCGCAUCCCUCCCCGUGCGACUGGACACGUGUCGCGCGUGGGGAGGGAGCGGCGGACGCGCCGCGCGAGAGUCCGACUUUUCCUUUUUUUUUUCCGUGUUUUCCGUUUCUGUUUGUUUGGCUUUUUUUUUUCCGUUUCUGUUCCGUUUGGUUUUUCCUUGUUCUUUCGGUUUCCCUUCUGUUUUUUUUCGGUUUUUUAAUGUAUGAAUACCAAGUUUUGUAUUCGUACAUAUGCAAAGUUUAUAUACACGUAUGCAAACUUUGUAUACGUGAUGCAAUUUCUUGUUUUUAUUUUUUAAUACGUAUGUAUAUAAAGUUUGUAUACAUCGUAUACAAAGUUUAUAUAUAUCCUAUAUAAACUUUGUAUACAUUGUAUAUAAACUUUGUAUAUGUGUAUAUAUUUUUUAUGCGUUAAAAAAUAUUCAUAAAUAUAUACACACACGUAUAUACAUAUGUAUAUACAUAUGUAUAUGUAGUAUAUACACAAGUAUAGUAGUAGAUACAGAGAAGAGACUAGAGGGGAGGCGACUGACCCCGCGCGCAUGGGGGCGCGUGGCUUAUCGUGUAUCAUUGUAUCAGCGCCCCCCAACACAUGUUAUUAAACCCAACCCGACACAAAACGCAUCGCGACAAAAUAAUUAUGACAUGAACAGUACUGAAUAUCAAUUGUAUUUUAUAAUUUUCUACUUACUGUUAAUAUUAGGAUUUUGACAAGAUAAAUGUUUUUAUUCGUUUUAAUAAGGCACAAAACUGUUUUGAGCACUUGUUUAAUCGCGUUUGAACUUUGACGUGUUAGUUUUAUGUUCCCAUUCCAUUCCACCAUGCGGUCCACGCCCCCUCGAUUCUCUCUGCUUUCCGCGCUGCUGCUGACCGACGACGGCCGCGCCCCUGUCCCGGUCUCCUCCUCGUCCCUCCUCCCCGCCUCUCCACUCUUCCAGAACAUCGCCACCGCCACCGCCGCCGCCGCCGCCGCUCGCCGGCCACGACCGCCCCCGGCCCAUCUACACCUCCGCCGGAUCUCGCAGCCGCGCUCCCCCCAUUGGAGGGAGAUCCGUUCCAGCGCGUGGGUAAGCAGCAGCUGCCUUCAACGGUUCAACCCAACCUGCGUGAUAGAUAGGUGGUGGGUGGUGUGACGCGGGGGGUGUUGCAGGUGAUUUGGUUCGAGAGCCCGCGUCGCACGCACCGAUCAGUUUGGGGGGAGGGGGGGGGGGGGGGUGGUGGUGUGUGAUUUGGUUGGAGAGGAGAGUAUAGCCUUGGGAGGGGAAUCGGAAUUGGGAUGUGGAAUCCCCUUGGAUUGGAUGAGGUGAUUUGAUGAUUUGGUACCAGGAUAUACUAGCUCGAGCACAUGUGCUGUUGGAAUUGGAUUCCCACCUAUUGGGUUUGGUUGCUGCUGGGUUGAGGGAGAGUAGCGUUAAUCAUUGGUCCCCGUGUAGUAUUCACUGCAGCGGUAUCAGUUAUUGCCCGUUGAUGCUCGUUGUUGAAUUCUUGAACAUUUCAAAGUUUUUUGAUGCAUCCAAUUGCUAAUUUCUAGAUUCUACUCAACCCAAUGCUGUUAACAGAGCCCGUAAAUCAGAGGAAUGUUGUAGGACAUGCAAGUGGUGCAGAAGUAACACAUACUCAUUUAUUAACGUAUUUUUCUACGAAUCACAUCAAUUUUGCUUAAAAGUUCGCCAAAGCACUAGCAGAAAGCAGCCCUAGUGACAGCACAUGAUCCUAUUACCAUAGCUUUUGGAGUAUAACUUAUCACCUUCCUUCCCCUGAUUGCUAACUGAAGAGGAGGGUACUAAUAUCCAUACUUCAAACCAUCAGGACGAAACCAAUUCUGCGCAACUUAGUAAUGUGGCUUGUACCUUUCUUUUGCGCAGAAAGAGAACUUUCAUUAAUCAUUAAUCAAUACCCAAAAGGAGUACAUUCAGCUACUAUUGUUAAUACAAGUGGCUUGUAUUUUAUACAGAGUAUAAACUGCUAUACCCUUUCAGCUAUAAAUUGUUAGUUAUUGUUAGGUUUGUUGGUCCUUUUGCCCCUGCAGGAUUUAAUUUCAACACAUGACUGGUGAAAUGUUUGCUUGAUGAUGUCCGGACAUGAUUUCAGUAUUGUUCAUAAUGCAGUUGGCAUCUCAUGCCACUCAAGCAGAUGAAGCAACAGAGCUUGCUUCCAGCUGUGAUUGUGCAGAAGUGCCAGCUUCACAGCAGAUAGUUUCUGAAUCAAGUACAGCAGGAAGCUCCACAGAGCAUCUAGUUUCAUGUGAAAUCAAGCCACUGGGUGUUGAUGAAGACAUUGAAACUAUUGAUGCUAACGAAGAAACCCACCUUGUCAUUCAAGACUGUCCACAAUGCCGGAUUUGCCUUGAUAAUGAAGGUCCAUUCUGUGACUUGAAGUAUCUUUCUUAUGGAGUGCCAUAAAGGCUUUCGAUUUUUUUUUUGAUAAUAUUCAUAUUUUUAUGUUGAGUCUACAUUUGAUCUGAUAUUUUUUCCAUAUCCACUACAAGCAGGUGAUGACUUGAUUGCACCUUGUCAUUGCAAGGGCACACAGAAAUACGUGCAUCGAUCCUGUCUUGAUAACUGGAGAUCAACAAAGGUGGAUUCAUGAACAUUUGCUCUUUAUGCUUCAUGUACCUAUAUUUACUGCCAUCGCAGAAUCCAGUUAAUCAUUAACCUAAUCCAGCUCUGACCUAGUUUCUAUGUUACAUUUCCACCAGGAAGGUUUUGCCUUUUCACAUUGCACUGAGUGUCGGGCUGCCUUCUUACUUCGUGCAAAUGUUCCUCCAGAUCGAUGGUGGUUGAGAUUGAAGUUUCAACUUCUGGUUGUUAGAGAUCACACGUUGAUUUUUUUUAUUGUACAACUGGUACGAGUUCCACACCUUCUGUAAUCUAAUUCAACAAACUGUUUUUUCUUUACUGAACCAAUACUGAAUACAUCUCAGUAGGAUUUCUCCAACUGUUUACCCUAAAAAAUGAACAUGCUACAAUACUGAACUCAAGCAUGACAUGGUUGCACCUUAUUCUGUUAAUGUAUAAAGCAGUAAUGAUUUUAUGGAUUUAUAUUGAUAUCACCAUUUCUUUGAAGAGAUGUGGUAGUUAGUUCACUGACUUCUUACUAAUACAUUGCCAUGAUUUCUGGCGUGAGAUCCAAAAGAUAAACGUUUUUGAAUAAAUGCACAAGAAAGAGGCCUGAAAAUGGUCACGAUGUGCUGCUGUAAGAUGCAUCUUUGUUUUUGUCUUACAAUCUUAUCCGUUUUCCUGCCUGAUAGGUUGUUGCUUUAUUGGGUAUGCUAGUAUACAGAUUUUAUGGAGAUGAACUACGAGAAAUGUUUGGUUAUGAAGAGCAUCCAUAUGCUUUUUAUGCAAUGGCAAGUAAGUUACUUUUUCAUAGUGAUAUCUGGAAAUGUCAUGAACUGCAUCUUAUCUAGAAAGCUCAUAGAGAACUGAAAAACUUAUCGUUUUCUUGUGUAGCAUCUGUUCAUGUUGAUCCAGUUCAUGACAUGUACUGUCAACAUGGCCUGGCAUUUAUGUCUCUAAAGAAAGUCACUCCAUUCUAUUACAUCUUUCAUUUCAUACUUAUAGCUACCAUUUAAAAAUAUGGUGUGGAACCAAAGUACAGUGCAAUUUAUGUAGAAUUGCUUUUAUGUAUUGUGAAGAUCAUCGCGCAGUUUAUAAUGGCAGCUAUAGCUUUGGGCCUUUGAGAUGAAAGAUAACAUAUACUACACUUAAUGUUGGGCGUCCAUGAUUAUCUAAGUGCUCUCUAUGUAAAUGGAAUCACGGAAGAUGCUUUUCAGAGGGAUUUGUUUCCAUGGUUCUUUUAGAAGACUGCACGAAUUGUAACAUAGUCAAAACAAAAGUCUAUGUGGUCAGAGGGAACUAAAAGCAACUGGCAGAUUAGAUGAGAACGCCGAUAGCACAUAUCUCCUUUGUUGGCAUUUAACUCAAUGCAUGUGAUUGCACAGGUCUUGAUGUACAUAUUUUUGCCCUGUGAAUGUUGUCUGUGUACAGGAAUAAGAACUAUAUCCUCUACUUCUACGUUAAAAACUUGUUGACAAAAUAAUUAACGUUUUAAAUGUUACUUAAAUUGCAGUAUUGGCUAUUGUUUUGGUUGGUUUGCUGUAUGGAUUCUUCAUAGCUAUAAUAUGUGGGCAGAGGAUCACAGAACGGCAUUACCAUGUUCUUGCAAAGCAAGAGUUAACCAAGGUUGGUUAAAGAACAUAAAGAUGGAAACACAAUUUUCAUUGACUGAUCUUUUCAUUUUCAAGAACUACACUGUGUCAUUGAAAUAUUAAUAGUAGUGCCAUCAACUGUUCAAUCUGUAUAUGCACAAAAACAUGCAGAUUUCUUCAUCUUUUUUUUUUUUACUUAUUCCAACCAUUACAUGACCUUAUAAGGUUGUGAACAGACUCUCUCAUCUCUAUUUGCGAAAACAAGGUUGGUUUGUUUUAGUGAAAUUAAAUAAAUAAGUUGUGGGUGUAUUAGUAAUAAGGGUGAAAAGACUGCCUAAUCAAUGAUUUAAUGGUAGACCAUGAUGGCCCCAGCAGGGAACACAAAAUGAGGUUUCUUAUGACAUAAUGUAGAUUCUUUCUUAGCUGACAGUUUUUUUAUGAUGCGAAAAGUGUUCUAUUUACAUUCUUCCCUUUUCCUUAUGGCCAGGGGUGUAGCCGAGAUUCUUCCAAGCCUAGGACUAGAGCAUUGCCUUUGUUAUAGCUUUUUUUGCCAUGUGGGACCUGAGCUCUAGUUGCCCCACACAUGGUUCCCUUCCUGCCUAUGGCAUAUUAUCUUCUUGUAUACCACAUAAAGCUUGUAUUUAAAGUUCUAUUCACACCUCACAGUAUUUGAUAUUCCUCUGAUGGCAGGAGUAUAUUGUAGAGGAUCUUGAAGGAACUGAUGGAGUUCCUGACCUUGAUCCUAAUCAUGUUACAGAGCUGAGGAUUCUGGGGCUAUAUUGAGUACUGGAGAUAUCAUCAAUUCAUCAGGUAGGAAAUUUAGCACUUGUGCUAUAAAAUGUCUGUUUAGAUCUUUUUAUGUGGUUGCUACUUCCUCAGAGAUCUCUCUUUGCAUCCUACAAAUGUAGCAGAGCUCUUGAUUAACAAUAGCCACUUAAAAUGAUAAAAUGUGGCAUCAAGCAUCUCACACAUCCAUAUUUUGCCCCAGACAUAUGUUUUUGGUCAUUUUCUACAGUUUUGUUUUGUACUAAUGUGCAAUGCAUGUGAUGCCAAAGUAUUUCUGGAUAAUAUUUUAUGAUCACUGAGGUUUUGCUACUGCGUAUGGUCAGUUGAAUGCCACAAAUAGUUCUUUCACUGUGAUAAGAUGAAGAAACUUGUACAGAAGAGCCCCGUUUUUUAAUCUUUUUUUUUUAACCUAGGAGUGCUUAUAGCUGACUUAUAUACUAGUGAUCCAAGAUGAAUCAUUGUAACUCAGUUAGAUCUUCCACAUUUUCUGAAAACAGUUGGAUUCAGUCCUUGAGAGUUGAUAAACCAUGCUUGAUGUGGCUUCUGAUGAACAGAUUCAGACACACCUCAAAAUCUUAGUUUUUUUUUGUUUCAUGGGAACAACACUUGGCUAAUUCAAGUUACAAUACAAAGAUUUCCCACCACAAGGGACGUACCAACUUGAUUUGAAUAUGCCAUGAGCCAUGAAGAGUGCAUACAUUUUGAUGGAGAAGCUGUAGAUAUAUAUAUUCAUAGCUUCACCUUCCUAUUGAGAUCCAAAACUAAAGUAACUGCAUUGCAAUAACCAAAUCCAUCAAUUGUUGUUGUGCUGGCAUAAAUCAGGCUAAUUUCUGAUUAAUCUUUUGUACUAUUUGCAAUGCUAUUACUUGGCUUAAGAAAGAGCAAAUAAAAAAUGUGAUUAAAAGACCUGAUGAGAUGAUGAGAAAACGGGAAAAAAUUAUAGGAGAAGAAAAACAAUGUAGUCGGAAGAAAAAAAAAACUGGAAGGAGAACAAGAGUGUGUGAAACAUUUUUGUCAAGCAGAAAUGUUUGCUGAAUGGAGGAACAAUUACAUGGAAGGUCUGUGGAUCAGCUAUUAUCUUUGGAGUAGUCCCUAGUGCCUUAUCUAAGGUUAUGCCCUCUAUUAUGAGAUUGCCUCGGGAACAAGUUUUUAAGCUCCCAUAAGGGUCGGCUCCUCUGUUCAUGAAAGACCUGCUGCCCUGCCCUGCUAGGCUGCUUGCGGGCCCAGUUUCAGGAUGUCAAGGAAGUUGGUGAACUGAUGAUAGGAAAGCAAAAGCCCUGUAAACUAUGGCCAUAGCCAUAACAUCCAAAGGUAGGUUUAUACUUUUGUUCCUUUAGCCGAACCUUAUCCAUGUCCUUAGUAUUAUUUUGUUACUGCCUUGAUUUUAUUCUAUCAAGUUUCUGCUGAAAAUUCCAAAGACGGAUAAAUCUUCAAUAUUCAUACCUUGUCACUGUUCCAGUAACAUGCGGGCACCCAACUUGGCCCAGCAACACCUGAUAAUUUGCUUGCCUUGUUGGACUAGCCCAGCAUAUCCGCUGCAGUGGUGCUAGAAUGUUCUAGCUAUGCUCAAUAGAGCAAAACCAUACCAACUUGCGUUAACCUUUUGGAUGAAGAACAUAAGCACCAUUGGUUAGCUGGUGUGCUGUAGAUAUACAUUGCAUGUUACAAUACACGAAAAACAGAUUUCUUGGAAAAUAAAUGUCCUUUUCUUACCUACCGUUGGGAGCAAUGUCAGAGACAAUCUCUUGGAAUUACAAAACUACUCCAGCACAUAAAGACUUUCUUUGAACUCACAAAUCAAGAGCUUGUCCUUGAGCUAUUUCAGCAGCACAUUUUAAAAUAAAAUAUUUUGUUUCCAUUGAGUUCUUGUGCUCUAAUUUGUAAAGCUGAAACAGUAGAGGAAUCGAUCACUGAUCAGUUUCUAUUGGAGCAGCUAUAAUUUCUGAUUGGAUAGCUUAGGAUAAAAUAAAUAAAUAGAAGGAGUUUCAGGAUGAAUUUGCAAGCCUGUUCUCAUCAGUUAUCUUCCCAGAACCAAACAUUCUGUUCCCAUUGCCCGCUACUUAAGCGAAGAAUAUAUUCUCCUAUGCAUAUAAAUUUGGUAGUCUUGCAGGCAUCUUUCUGAAAGUAGCAGAAUAUAUGGGUAGAGACUAGAGAGUACUGUUUUUUGUUAUAUUGACAUCCACUAAUAAAGCAUUUCUCUCUUAGCAAACAUUCUCUUGGCAUUUUUUUUUAAUCUUGAUUGCGUGUUCUUGAUCUUCUGUAAAUUCGUUUUACUUGCUUUCCUUUGUCAGUUUUGCCUGAUACAGUAAUACCAUCCUUCAUUUUUCCCCCUUUUUCAUGCUAUACAUUUUAGUUUUCUUAUCUGUUCUCCUCUGCUUUUGUUUACUUCAGUGAGCAAAACUGUCAAUAAACGAACCAUCAUUCUGCUGUAGUACUUGCUUCAAAAGAUUGAAUUUGCAUUUAUAUGUGGCAACACUUGCAUCACCUAUGACUAGUGUACAUUAAAUUUGGGCAAGUCAAGGCUGCACUUGUCUGUAAAUUUUGUCAAUGUGGGUUGCCAAGUUCUCUAUGCAUGUUAGUGUCUCUUGACAAUGGCUUGAAUCUGCUUCCCAUUUCCCCACUUUUCAAUUUUAUAUCCUGGCUUUGUCACUACCAGCCUAGACUACAUGGGUUGUGGAGUGGAGAUGAUUUGCCAAUUGUGAGCAUGUUUUUGCCGUAUCUUCUCCAGGUCACCUUUAGCUUGUUUCUUUGUUUUUCAGAAACACGACAAAUAUAACAAGAACACUAUUGAUUGAAGAAAAAGAAUGUUAGUGCCAUUUAUCAACCAGACAAAUGUUUGAUUAGCCACUAGUGAUUACUAACGGAAGUGCUUAACAAUGACCGCAAACUUUUGGAUGAUUCAAGAUCUAGGUAUCAUAAGUUCACAACAUCAUAUCAGGAUCAUGCCUUCAUUGAUUUAUGGAGGAAAUACGCCUUGGGUGAAUUACCUCCUCUGGGGACCAGGGUUCAAGACAAAGACUCUUCCCUUCUCUUGGGGAUAAAAAAGAGCUCGAUAGCUUGAAUUGUCAUCAUAUGGCCAGUGGGAUCGAUUUGGGAGUUCAAAAAACAAUUAGAACAUAAGAACAAUAUAACACAUAAAAAAGGGACAUGCACCUGAGUCCCUUAUCACUCGUAACUAUUUUCAGCUGUGCUCUGUCAUGGUCGGUGCAAUGAUUGUGUAGAGAAGGCCAUUUAUUGCUCUUGAGACACCGUGUUGAUGCAUCUGAACCAACAAUUCAUGAUGACAUACUGUUUCUCUGUUAUGCAACUCAAUAUGCUAUCACCCAGACAAUUGUGCAAGGUUGGGUGUAGUUGGUGAAGUUACUGAAAAUGUGUUGGGUGAUAGAAGUGGUACUUUGAGAAUCAGUUCAUGCCAUGUAUGUUUCCAUCAGAUUCAUCUCUAGUAGCCCUAAAUGUUCUUACCAUUUAAAUUCUUGCUGAAUCAUUAACAUCAAUUGCAAUGCCUAACCGCUGUGUUUAUUUCAUGUGUGUUACACUAGAAAACUGUAUCACAACAUGUAAUCAAAAGGAAUUUUGCUUUUGGAAAAAUGACUGUCAAUAGCAAUAUUCUUAGCACAUUUUGUUAAGUUAUAUGGUGAAUUUUACUUUUCUAUAUGUUUUUCAGCUAAAUGUCGAUGCUAAAAUGGUCAUAUGGGAAAAGCUCUGUUUAGAUACAAAUCCAUAAGGCUGAUGCUGCACGGACAUCAUCCAGAACUUCAGCACAAGGCAUGACAAACGGGCUUAUCUGCGUUUUGGAAGACAUGUUUGUCUGAAGGCAUCCAAUAGAGUUUAGAGCUAUUUCCCUUUUUUCCCCAUGUAGGAUAAAUUGCUCUCACACAAAAAGGAGAAUAAGGUGAGUCCCCUCAGACUCUGAAUCGAUGAUGAGGAUUAUGAUAGAAAUGUUAGGAUGCCAUUUCGAAUGGACAUUUUAUUAGAUAUUACUUGUCUCUUCAUGUUCACAAUAAACAUGAAUAGUUAUAAGAAAAUGAGGUAAAUAGAGACGUAUGCAAGCUUUGCUUUUCUGCCUUCAUAAUUUGCAAUGCACAUGCUGGGCAUGUACUGGAUGACCUUUUUAAUUGUUUCUCCCGUUUCUGAUUUUCUAUGGUUUGCUAGUACCUUGGGACUUGGGAUAUGCUGCUGAAAUGAAGGGCAAGCAUGUAGGGCAGUACUCCUGCCUUGCUGCCUGCAUUUUCACAAAUUCAUAAUGUAGCAAACACCUCUAAGUGGACAGCCGAUCAUUAAGGAUCCAGUGGAACCAUCUCAUGUGCAAAAGUGGACAUGAUUCUGAUGGACACAUGAACUGGAUUCUGAAAGUUCUUGGCAGCAACCCUAACUUUUAGCUUGAGCAUUGCACAUUAUUUUGCCCAGAAAGCUCUUCAUUUUCCUUGGGUGAUCAGACAAGCUCACAAGCAACAUAAAUUUGACUAAACAGAUGGCACCAAUCCACCCAUCCAUUAUUAGUUUCUAAUGUUAGGUCAACUACACACUUGCAGCUACAACUGCUGAACACAACUUUGACAUACAGUUGCUUAACUUUGUUCCUCUUUGAUAUUGACAGAGAUGAUGUUUUCUCUAACAUGAACACGUGCACAGCAAUUAAAAAUAUCGCCUUCUCGUUUUGCACACCACCUUAAGCAACUUUCUCAGCUUUGAUCCUGAGUAAUUAAGCUAAUUAAUGCAAGUAUGCAACUAUACAAGAUUCAAGCUUUUGUUGGAAGUUGAAGACCCACUCACUAAUGGUGGGAGUCUAAAGUUAAACUGCAGCAGCAAGAGCCCAGAAGCAAGCAACCAUAUGUACUUAAUCUGGCAAGAAUCACUGCAAUUUGUUCUCCAUGGCAAUGCAUUGAUGACCAACUAGUUGCUGAAUGCUACUCUGAUGGUGAUGUAUCAUGAUUAUGCUGGGUGACAGUUACAGAUGGAGACUUCAGCUUCUCUAUGCCAAAGUGUCCCAUUGGAACUGUAUCUCCUUGAUUAAUUAGGUGGAGGAACUGAGACUUGAUUUGGGUAUUAGUUAAUAAAUGCUCAUCAUCCGGGGUUUCUGUUGCAUAAUUAAGACUUAACCACCUUGCAAUUACAUAUAUAUGAUAGUAUUAUUAAAUGACAAGCAACUAAACCAAUAAAAUGAAGGUCAAGAUUGAUGGCUACAUAGGGUGCUUCAGUCUUUGCUCAACUGGGAGUAGGAUCCUAGGUUCACAGUGUGGUGAAGCUGUCUCUUUUCUAGUCGUGCGAUCAUAAACUGAAGGUCAAGAUUGAUCGCUACAGUAAUUCAUCCUGUCAGAUACUUGUAACGAGAAAACAAUGACAACAUUUUCCCUAAAAAAAAGAAAUCGAUGACAAGCUCUUUCUCUCUCUCUCUCUCUCCCCCUGAGAAAACAAUGCAUAGUAAAAAAACUUCCAGUCCAAUAUGGACAACAGAUAGAAUUGCAGAGCAUUAUUGCAAAUAAUGUAAUCAUUUAACAAAUAUAUCCAUGGAUAUGCCAUGAAAUCUGUACCAUAAGAAAACAAUGCAUAGUAAAAAUUCCAAUCCAAUAUGGACAACAGAUAAAAUUGCAGAGCAUUAUUGCAAAUAAUGUAAUCAUUUAACAAAUAUAUCCAUGGAUAUGGCAUGAAAUCUGUACCAUACCGUAUGUUCUUGAAAUAUAUAUCUUGUUUAUGCGGCAAGAAACAGAAACCUGAUUGGUUUAUGGAUCGGAUCAAGAUUUUUGCACCAAGCCAAGAAGGAAUGUGAUGCUACAUCAAACCUUGAUAUCUCUCUGUGCCUCCACAGGAUGACAGUAGCUCUGCACUCCUGAAUUUGGAAUGGAAAACCUCAUGUCAAAGAAUUUCUGGAGAGAUAAUUAUGAUAUCAUGUUAUAUCAUAUCAUAUAAUCUAGUAGCACCCUUUUGACCAAUGUGCCUCUUCAGCCACAGCAUCGAGUUGCUCAAGGUUUCUCUCAACUUGAGAUCAAGAAAAUUGCUUUCAAGCACUAUUGUUUAACAGUGGGAUUCAAUUUCUCUGACAAUGACAUGCAAUUCCAAUUUGCUUAAUAAUAUGAAAAAAAAAGACAGAGAUGUCCAAUGGAAUCAGAGGAGAGGUCCAUCUGCAGAGCUAGUGUUCAUACUUCAUACGCUUGGAUGGAUCAACCAGCCAUUUGAAGCAGUGAUUCAGUUAAGCUCUCCUCACCCUAAAAAAGAGAGAACAGAUUAAUGGAGAACUCCACUAAUAUCAUGGUAGAGAAGAACUUUACCAUCUAGAUAAUUUUGUGAUUCUUAACUUAGAUGAGCUAGACAAGGAAUCCUUUGCUUCCUUCUUGUAAUAUUUCUAAAACUGCAAAAGGGAUUGCUAAAAGGUCAGGAGCAGAAAGUCUGUCAAGUAAAGUUUAAAAAAGUGCACUCGAUCAUGCAGUCUGAUGGUUUUAAUCCUUUCAGAGCAAGGCAAAUGCAGCUUUACCACACAACACUGCACUAACUGCAAUGUCAAAUUGAGCCCUAAUUGGUGCAUAGCUGGUGCCUCUAAGCUAGUUGGUCUGUAUGAACUGGCCAGUCAACAUCCAUAGGUGCCUGGAAGCUUCAGACUCUCAGAAAGUUAGUACAAUUGUGCUAAAUUGAACUGAAUUAUACGCAACCAUGCAGUGGGAUUUCCCCUCUAUCCAGGAUUUUUAUCUUUGUACAAUUUCUGCAAUUCCUGCACCCAAUCAGUGGCCACAAUCUCAUUGGCUGGCCUCCAAAUGGAUGUGAAGAGCAGUCACUCUCCCUGCCUGCUCUUCAGAGUAAGUUGCUACUACAACCUUCACCUUCCAUGAAUGCACAUUGCAAAUCUGCAAGAACUUCUUAUGGCAUUGCAACAGCCUGCUUUUGAGGCCUUGGUUCUCCCUUGAACUCCACAGACCCCUAUCCUUCGCCUCACACGGUGAUCAUGACGGGUUCUUUCGUCGUGCAUCCCGCCAAUAAUACCGCCUUUUUGCCUUCCAUUUUGCUCACAUAGCGUGUCAAAAACAUAUACUAAUGUGAAAGUAAAAGAGUAACAGCUAACGAUGUGUAUAAGAAGAGAGUAGUAUGGCUACUUUACAGAGCAGUAUGUAUGCAAGUUCAGUUACAUGUAGCAAACAAAAGCAAAGAGGCAGUGUGCAUGUGUGAGAGUAUUGUUUUGGUUUUAUUUUUAUCCUUUUCCAUUUGCAGAAAAGGUGCUCCAAAAAUAAAAAUAAAGCAGGCCGACCACGCAUAUUUCCCUGUGGCCGAUGGCUACCUGCAACAUGGAAAUGCAAGGGAAGCAGACAAAUUUAUUCAGAUUCUGCCAAUUGUCUAUGCAAUUCUUUGGUAGAAUAAGAUGGUCCUGGUUUCGAAUUUUUAAUCCUUGCGCUUUAUGCUCUUCAGGGAAGUCUUUGAAACGCGUCGAAUUUCAGAAUCCGGUGCAAGUACUCAUGAGGAUCGAUGAUGUUGCGCGAUUCAUAUCGGGCUCAAGAACAUGUUCCUGACCUGUUUCUGUUUCAAAUGCCUAUCAAAAUGCUACUUUGAAUCAGCUUGAAUCAACCCAAUGCUGACCCUUAUUAACAAUAAACUUUUAACAGUUUUUAUUUCUGUUUCAAAAUAAAGGAUUUACAUUUCAUCAUGCAAACUUCACCAAAAUAUUGAAUCCUCUAAUUAACAAUGACUGAAUCUAAUCUGGGGCUUGCACUGUUCAAGUACUGAUGGAGCAAUGUGACUGAACAUGAACACAGCAGCCUUUGUCUCCAACACCUCCAUAUGAGUGCUAAGCAUAAGGCAUCACCGGCCACAUGGGAUUAAGAAACACACAAGCAGGUUAGUGCAUGCAUAAACCCCAUUUGCAGCAGGUCAUAAUCAGUAUUCAAUUGUGCACAAGUACAAUUCUGCUGAGGUGAUUAAAAAGUGGGCAGAGCCUUGGUUUCUGCAAGAAGGAAUCAAAAAGAUUGUUAUUUAAUUCCAGUAAGCCAUAUCUCAGCGUGAUAGAUCAUGUUUGCAGUGCCCACUAUGCUUUGGUAAGAUCUGAAAUUUCAUCCACUAUUAAGAUAUUCUUAUCUUCGAUAAGUAAUAGUUUUAGCCACAUUUAGUGUGCUUUGAAUAAUAUCAUUCUUCUCUUUAUUCCCUGGAGAAUUAUUGUUAAGGGAGACCUUUAUUCCAUUUCUUGUUCGGCCAAUUAAUCAAAUUGUAUAUUUAAAAGUGUUUAUUCUGGUGUAACCUUUGCAUCUCCAGAUAAGAUAUUUCUGUGUCAUGUCUAUGUACAAUAAUCAUUUUGUAUUAAAAAAACUGUUGGCUGAUUUACAAGCUGAAAAUCAGUCAGCUCAGCUAAGAAAAACUUAAAUUCCCUAGCAUCCUAGCCUUGUCAAGUUUCUGAAGAGAGAUAGUUCUUAUCUCAACCACCACGGCAUACUACUCAACUUCACUAGUCUCAUGUAUAAUGCAUGAACCAACCUUUGGACCCAAGUGACACUAUGAUCCAAAAGAUUCUGUUUUUUUUUUGUGCUCUUCUAUUUUCCAUCCUCUGUGACAUCUACAUCUUUAAAAGUUAACAAUAAUUGCUAAAUGCAAAUCAGAAUCACUUCAAAGGGUUAAUAUAUAAUGGAUAAAUAUCUGACUAAAUUAUUUCUCUCUUCUCCACAAGCACACACAAACAAACACAAAACAUAAAGAACUUUUUUGACACACCAAGUCAUGCUAAAGUACUAUUAAGUAAUGCAGUGACUCUAGUGCAAUUGAGUACCUGAAGAACUUUCAAGAUACCAACAGGAGAACCAAGGUCUAUAGUUCUUUUCUGUAGGAAGCAUUUUUUACUAUACUACUAUAUCUACAAGAACCAGAGUUUUCCUUCUGCAAUCAACACCUACUUACUUUAUAUAUAUAUAUAUAUAUAUAUAUAUAUAUAUAUAUAUAUAUAUAUAUAUAUAUAUGCACAAAUAUAUACAUAUGUACAUAUCAUGUAGCCGGAUCAAAACAGAAAUGUAGUUGUGUAAUAUUCACUUGACCAAAGAGAACAAAUCUUGGCAACAUAUGUCAUUUAAUACAAGUGAAAUCCCAAUCAAUUCAAACCAAUAAUACUCAUAUAUUUCAGGAUGUCACUAGACUUGUUAGUCCUUGUACUCACAUUCAGAGAACAUCAGCUAAGGUCCCCAUCGGUUGGUCUAGUCUUAUUAUAAGCCAUAACGGUUUAUUAGCGAUUAAAAAAAUGAUAUGUGAGUAAAACUUUUGUAUAUAUAUUCUUAGUGAUUGAAAAGCCAAAGUUAAAAAAAAACUAUGUUGAAAAAGGAUCAAAUUCAAAUUCAAAAUCAAGUUUUAAAAUUCAAAUUUUGGCUUUAGCUUAUAAGCCAUAGGGCAAACGAUGAGGCCCAAAGCUACAUUUCUGCAGGCUCUGAAACAAUCAAAACCAUCAAGCUCAACUCUCAUCUGGAUCGCCGGCGAUGGCCGACCGGAGCAAUGGCGGCCGGAGACGGAGAAGGAGAAUAUUCUUGGUUGGUUCUUGGUGAUAUUUGUUUCCCUCUUAUGUAUGCAAUGCAAUAUGUGGGUGGUGGAGAGGAAAGGUGGUGGCUGAGGUGAGGUGAGACCACCUUCUUGGCCCUUGAUUCCCUCCCUUUUGCAGCAUGUCCUCUGCAAUCUCCACUGGGGUGAGAGCUGGCUCUACUCCAUCAAUGUAGCAACCUCCCAGGCAAUGAGUCAAGCAUUGCAGCUAGCCAGGUCCAUUGCACCAAUUGCAUCUGCAGAUACUGCACUCCACUGCACUGCAGCUGCAGUGGUCCAUUCCAUUCCAUUUCACUGCAUUCAGUAUGAUGUAGUGUACCCUAAGUAUGUAUAGUGAGACUGUGUGUACAUGAACCAGUUUUUUUUCUUUAGACAAAGUAAGUUUUUAUUUAACUUAGCCAAUUACAUCGAGGAAAUACAAUUGUACUGAGCUAAGCACGGUCUGGUCUCUACAUAACUAGGAUGCACACGGUCAAAACUCACGCUCGCACCCUUACAUGAGCUAGUUAGCAUGGUGCAUUAUGUGUAUAUAUAUUUUACAAUUGUCAAUCACAAGUUGGGAGUGGUUGGUGAUCUGUUACUCCAGUUAUACCCACUGGAAGAUCAGAUUCAUGUGUGGCAGCAGAAUCACCAGGAAGCAUGUGGUUUGGUGGGUACCAAGAUACAUCAUGUGAGCUGGAGCCAGAUGAAAAAAAAUGAAUGAAUGAGGGGGUGUUUAGAUGGGGCUAAAACUUUUUAGCCCAUGUCACAUCGGAUGUUUGGACGCUAAUUUGGAGUAUUAAACCUAGACUAGUAAAAAAACUAAUUUCAUAAAUGAGAGCUAAUCCGCGAGACGAAUUUGAAGUAUUUAAGCCUAAUUAAUCCAUAAUUAUCAAAAGUUUACUGUAGCAUCACAUUGUUAAAAUCAUGGCGUAAUUAGACUCAAAAGAUUCGUCUCGCGAAUCAGUCCAAGGUUAUGGAAUGAGUUUUGUAAUUAGUGUAUGUUUAAUACUCUAAAUUAGUGUCCAAACAUCCGAUGUGACAGGACUUGGAAUAAGUCUCUAGAAAGCAGACAGGCCCGAAUGAAUUGAGCUGAACUGAUGAAAAAAAUCUGUGUGCUGCUACUGCUGCCUGUGAAUGAAUGAGAGGAGCUGAGCUACAAGAGUUGUCUGUCACUGCUAGGCUGCUGCUACUGUUGGUGCUGCUGCCAUUAGUUUUCAGAGAUGUGCAACAGUGCUGGUUGGUACAUGACAACUAGAAAGUAGUCUUCUAGUACACUCAAAUUCCCAAGAAACCAACAGAAAAAAGAUGUAGUAGUGGUAGAGAAUAGGGGGGAGAAAACAAAGAGGGUAAUUUGGAGAAUCUCUUUCUCUCUGCACAAUAACCAUCAGUACUGUACUGAACAAAUUCUGAGAAAAAAAAAAAGAAGAGCAAGCAAGAAAGAAAAGAAUACUAAGCCAGUUAAUACAUUUAUUCCUGCCAUAAAAAGACUGGCUGUUGUCACUCUUAUUAUUCCCACUACCUGUGGAAUAUUAACAAGAAUUUCCUGCAGAUUGAUUGAUUUAAUUUACUACCCCAACAUGUCCAUGAGCAUCACAAAAAUGUAGUACUAGUUGCAACAAUCUGAGGCUAGUAGUAAAGCACCAAUAUAACAUUGCAUCUCAACACAGUUUAGUAAUUCUUAAAAAAUAUAAGAAUUACUAAACUGAUUAAUUCAAAAGCAAACAUACAUACCAUGAGUCCAUGAGACAGCAGAGAGAGAGAGAGAGAGAGUAAUAGUAGUAGUAAUUAUAUAUUGCACUUCCUUGAUUUGUUUUGACAGAGAAACAGAAAGCUUACUGCCUCAUUAAUCCUUACAUAGUUGGAGUACAUGAUGAUGAUGAUGCAUGCAGAAGGCUUAACUUAACCAUCACUUGAUUUACCAAUUACACAAGAUAAUUAGGCCAUUAAUUAGCCCUAGCAGCUAGCUUAGCUUCGUUAGGUGCAGUGCUUAGUUGCUUACCCCCAGUGGCAAGUACUGUAAUUUUCUUCAUCUUCUUCUUGGUCUCUGCCAUGGCAGCUUCAGCUUCAGUGUUUGAGCUAGCAAAGCUGGAACAGCUCGGGGGAGGAUCUGAAGAGGUCGUCGAAGGCGGCGGAGUCGAAGGCGAGGAGCGGGUCGGUGGCGGCGGCGACGGUGAGGGCGGCGGCGGCGGCGGCGGCGGCGCCGUUGGUGUUGAUGCAGGAGAGGAUGUCGUUGAGGGAGGCGAGGCGCGCGGCGAGCUCGGCGGCCUGGGUGCGGAGGACGGCGUUCUCGGCGUCGACGGCGAGGAGGCCCUGGGUGGUGAGGCCGAGCGCGGUGGCGACGUGCGCGUUCUCGCGGCGGAGGUGCGCCACCUGCGCGGUGAGGUCGUCGAGGUGGCGCUGCUUCCGCAUCCGCGACCGCCGCGCCGACUCCCUGUUCGACAGCAUCCUCUUCGCCCGCCGCUGCUCCAUAAGCGCCCUCAGC